GGACGGUCACUGAACAAGUCUGUGAAAUGCUAUUCACAACCCACCUGUGUUGAAUGUCCUUGGUCUCAGCUGUCCAGGACUGGGAUUGGUUAUGGAAAAGCUGCAGGACAUCAUCUACCGGUUCCAUGUCAGCAAGACCCUCUUUCUGAGCUGAAUACCAUCUCCACUGUGGAGGAAGGAAGAGCCUUGCACGGCCAGGAGUGGGGUGAAACUAGCGGCAAAACCCAGGUGCUGGACAUCUUGUGUGGUGAACUCUGCCAUGAGGAGUUUACUGGGUAAAAGAACAUUCUGCAUGGAGAACACUUAGAUUUAGAUGUCACAGCACCAUCCUACUAAGUGGAGUUGUGCCCCCAAAGCACCUGAGUAGAGUGGUGAGUGUGUUCCAGGAUGCUGGCAUCUAGUGUAGCAUGGGAGCCUGGCGUAGGGCUCCAGUGUCCUUCCAGUUUUUGGAGUGUCUCAAAGGUGUCCCUUGAGGGCACUGGGGCGAUGGUGAUAGAGUUCACUGAGGAUCAUCCCCCUUGAUUUGGCAUGAGCAAGUACAGGAAUUUAUUGUGAGGAGAUCAUUGCCUGUCUUCAUAACCCCAUCUAUGAGACUGUUGACCAAAUUAUUGUUCAUGCAACAGUGUUCAUUCCAUGUGUAUGCCCUUGUUCCUUCUUCAGCAAAUAAGAUUUCAUUUAUUGUAUUGAACGAAUUUAUGAGUUCUUGAUGCCUACAUUAUUGACCUCUACCCUAUUUCUUUUGUUGAAAAUGCUGUUUGCUUUGUUCUUCAGCUUUCCGUGUAUUAUAAAUGAACUUGUUAUUUAAAUAUAUAAUCAUUGGUUAUGUAUUUUUUAUGACACCCAUAAGUGUUCUUUGUUUUGUCAUUGUAAUUUGUUGGGCUGUUUGACCAUGGAAUGAAUAUUAUUUCAUAUAAUUAUAAUUUGUUCCUGGAUGUUAAGGGUUAUGGUGGAGCUGUUGUCCAAAAACCUAUAAUAACCUCUAGAAUUUGCUAAAAAUAUCAUCAUAGUUACUCUUCCUUCAUCUGUUUUGCUUGAGUUAAUACUUGUCUAUUAACAAAUACUUUCCCAUGUGAAUGAAUUUGGAUUUUAUUGGAUAUCUGGAGAAUAUUUUAGUGUUUAUAGUGACUGUAUUUGUCCCUUAAAUAGAAAGAAAUGUAUCCAUAAUUUGUUUUAUAAGAUAUUUCAGUUUCUCUAUAGUAUAUUUUAAGUUUUCUAAACAUAAUUUGUUGGAUUUUGUAUGAAUUUUACAGAGCUUUUUAUUUCAGUUAAAAUGUUUUAU
Molecule: long non-coding RNA, 1279 nt
Filed under: Felis catus (domestic cat)
Lineage: Eukaryota; Metazoa; Chordata; Mammalia; Carnivora; Felidae
Description: lncRNA (ENSFCAG00000051227.1)
Source: RNAcentral